Molecule: regulatory RNA element, 113 nt
Organism: Anolis carolinensis (green anole)
Lineage: Eukaryota; Metazoa; Chordata; Lepidosauria; Squamata; Anolidae
Rfam family: Potassium channel RNA editing signal
About the family: This family represents a group of sequences related to the human potassium channel Kv1.1 hairpin element which directs the efficient modification of an adenosine to inosine by an adenosine deaminase acting on RNA (ADAR). The ADAR modification causes an isoleucine/valine recoding event which lies in the ion-conducting pore of the potassium channel. It is thought that this editing event targets the process of fast inactivation and allows a more rapid recovery from inactivation at negative potentials.
Source: Rfam
CUAGUUAUGGAGAUAUGGUACCCAAGACAAUUGCUGGCAAGAUCUUUGGCUCCAUUUGUUCACUGAGUGGUGUGCUUGUCAUUGCACUUCCUGUCCCAGUUAUUGUUUCCAAC